Molecule: RNA transcript, 3290 nt
Organism: Brassica napus (rape)
Lineage: Eukaryota; Viridiplantae; Streptophyta; Magnoliopsida; Brassicales; Brassicaceae
Gene name: F-box protein DOR-like
Exons: 1
Source: RefSeq, a predicted model, not a curated record
AAACUCGAGACAUCAGUGAAGCACACGGUGGGAAUGAUUUACAGCGUCAAACUUGGAUCCCCAAAGGAGUAUUACCACGAGGAACAUCGACCCACUCAUUUCCUAGAGUUCAGCAACAUGGAGGAGACUGAUAUCGCUGAGGGAGAUCGUGAGGACACCUUUGCUUGACCAUUAUGUUUCUACCAUGUUUUGUAACUUCCUUGCUAGACUUGUAAUGUCGUUAUGUGCGGGUGACUGAGUAUUACUGCAUUGUGUGUGUGGUAAGAUUGUAAUGUACUCAAGUUUAUGACUUUUUUUUGCCAGUAGGGCUAAAUCUUUUUAUGUACAUGCAAAUCGCUCAUGGUAAGUCUAGAAACUUAGUUUUUUUUUUUGAAACACUAGAAACUUCAGAGUUAGGAAGGUAACUAACUUUCUUGUAACAAAUGGGGAAAAGUUUUAAUAAUGACAGGUUAAGGAAAAAAAAAUGUUUUUAAUGUUCAUAAUCUUGUUGACCGGACGGGGGCGCUUCUGGGAUACCAAAGUUUAGUGCUUAUCCCUUAUAAUUUAUAACCAAAAGAAAACAACACAACCCUUUUGUCACCCACACACAUGCCAUGGCUUUUGUCCGACGAUGUAUAAGCAUUUUCCGUUUCUUUCAUGCAAAUUCAUAUAGUCAAAGCUUUUUGUUAUGUUUAUUAAAAUAACCUAACCAAACCUUUUUAAAAAAAUUAUUACAUAGUUGAUCGUAUAUGUCAAACAAACAAACAUGAAAACAAAAUUUCUAAGUUUUUAGUUUUAAUUUUCUUUAAUCUUUCUUAAUGAAGUUUAACUAGUUACUAUUAUAUUGUUUAUUAAAAACUUUCAUAUAUAUCAGCACCGUACUAGAGAUUUUUUCCUUUUUAUUUGCAACAAAUAUUAAUAUCGUUCCAAAAGAGGGUUUACAAGCAAUCGUCUCCAGCCGGCAUGACAUCACGUCGGAGAAACAUCCCUGAGGGCCAUAAUACAAUCCUUCAAUGCCAUUCACGAACAUGCACCGAAGAAUACUCAGAGACAAUCCCACAUGAUCUCAUAAUCGAGAUAGUUUCGAGAUUACCGACGAAAUCGGUGGCUAGAUGUCGUUGCGUAUCCAAGCUCUGGUCAUCCUUACUUGUCCAUCCACAUUUCACGGAAACCUACUUGACAAGAUCAUCUGCUAGCCCGAAGAUCUUAUUCGCCUGCGUAAAAGACAGCAAGGUAUUCUUCUUCACCUCACCUCAGCCUGAUGAUGAUGACAAGGCGUCGUCUGCCGCCACUUAUCAUAUGAACUUCCCCUUUGAUCAUGUUAUUGAUAUAUACAGUCCUAUGAGUGGUUUGGUCUGUAUCAGAGAUGAUCGGAUCUUAAAAGGUAGGAAAAGUGCAGCCAUGGUGUGGGAGAUAUGCAACCCUAGCACCGGACAGUCCUUUAUUUUACCCAAAAUGAAGUCAAGGAAGUGGACUGGUGCGAAGAGCUUUUUCGGUUAUGAUCCCACUGAAAAGCAGUUCAAAGUAUUGUCAAUGUUCAUUACUAAGAAUGGCAUCUCUAACGAGCAUCAAGUUCUGACACUAGAACCAACUGGGAAACUGUCUGUGAGAAUUAUUGAAUGUAGCAUACCACACUAUCCUCAAUCUCCUGGUAUUUGCAUUAAUGGUGUUUUGUACUACAAAGCUUCGCCUAACUGGUCUUCCGAAGUUGAUGGAAUCAUGUGCUUUGAUGUUAGGUCCGAGACGUUCAGAUUUGUUCAAGUCAUGGAACCUUUCAUUAGGGCAGUGCAUCCUCUAGCAACUCUGAUCAACUACAACGGUAAACUGGCUUCAGUUAUGUCGACACAGUCGUAUAACUAUAUUGAUGAAAAAAGUACAGGGUUUGUCAUGUAUGUUGUACAAGACAUUGAAAAACAGGAAUGGUCCAAGCAUAACUACGAAUUGACUCGUCUGCCGGAGUAUGGAGUUGCAAUGUUGUUCUUUGCUGGAGUGACUGUUGCAGGUGAGAUUGUGUUGUUGCCAAAGUACCCAUCAAGUCCUUUUUAUGUUUUUUUACUGCAGCCUCGAGAGUAGAUCUAUAAGAAGAGUUGAGAUCCAAGGAAUGGGAGGGUUCAAAGAAGUUUAUACGUUUGUAAACCAUGUGCAGGAUGUGAAACUUAUGCAAACGUUUUAAGUUUAUUAUUUAGGUUCUCACCCUCUGUGGAUAGAGCCACUGGUUUUGAUUUCUUAUAAAUCAAUUAUUGGAUUACUUGUUUUCUCUUGUCUCCAUCUUUUCUAGAUAACAUUUAUUCUCAUGUUCAGUGGUUCAUAUACUUUGGAGCAGUGUUUUUUUUUUUUCUUUCUUUUGAAACUCUUCUCUGCCCAUCUAUAUGGUACUUGGUGAUCCCUCUAGUUUACUUUCUCACUAUAGAACGGUCAAGACCACCCAACCAACAUGAUUACAAAUGGCACGACACAAAAUUAUUUCCCCUUGAGCAUCAUGGGUUGUAGCAAUAGACUGUUAAAGAUUCAGAGCGUAGAAAUCGUUUUGCUUCGAUGAUGAACAGAGUACAAGGUCUUGCUAAACCUACCGGUUCAGAACUAACAAACCAAAGCAGCUUUAACCACUUUAACGUAAACCCAUCAAGAGGCAAUAUAGCAGUAUACGUGCCAAUAGAUAAAACCACACAAAAAGAAGACAAGUGAAGAAAGUACUACUCUGAACACAAAUUCGUUUCCCCUUUAGUAUCAUUGAUUGUAACAAUAGACUUUCAAAGAUUCAGAGCGUAGAAAGUGUUUUGUUUCGAUGAUGAAAAUGUCUCUCUUCACAUAUCAAAUCUUACACAUUGAUUUUUCGUGCCUUCAGUGUCACUAAGCAUUGUGCAUUGAGACAUCAAGAAGUCGAUCAUCGAAGUUGAAGAAAAAUGUAACCAAAGCAUCUUAAAACCCGGGCCUUUUGUAUUUAUUUUGUAUUUAGAGAAAAAAAACAAUUUGUGAUUAGUAUUUCUCUUGCAUCGAGGAAGAGACUGUUAGAGCAUCCACAUUGCAAGGACCAAUUUUUGUGUCCUUACCUUAGUUUAUUAAUAUUGUUAAGUUAAGAUACAUAGUUAAGGACAAUAGCUAAAAUUAAGAUUAUUGGUAGGACCAUUUUAAGUCUUAGUUAAUUAUUUUUUUUUAAUAGGAAAUGAGAUAUAUUAAACAUAUAACAUUAAAAUAGAAACAUAAUUUAUUAAACAAAGUUGAAACACCAAAUUAACAAAAAAAAAGUCAUUAAAAAACAACUAAUUACAAAAAAUAAAAAACCCAUUAAUAAAACAUAAACAUUCAAAUAU